UCACCCCUGCCGAACCCAGCAACAUAUCAUUUUAUGAUUAUGCAAAGCGACUUAUAAAUUAGUUUUUUUUAAUGCAAUUGAAGACGAAAAGUAAAAUGAUGUUUAGGUGAUCAUUAAAUAAAGUACAGAAUUGUUUAUUAUUGGUGUUUUGUCUAUUCUGAUUUGUUUUGCUUCGCAUUCAAAAUAUCAAAAAACAGAUUUUGUAAUGUUAGCAUGGUAAUGUUAAUUAGACCAUUAUAGGUUGAACUGAAAGAAAAAUUGGAAUUUGAAUAAAAAUA
Molecule: long non-coding RNA, 278 nt
Organism: Rhinichthys klamathensis goyatoka
Lineage: Eukaryota; Metazoa; Chordata; Actinopteri; Cypriniformes; Leuciscidae
Exons: 2
Source: RefSeq, a predicted model, not a curated record